AGUCGAGCGGAUGAAGGGAGCUUGCUCCCGGAUUUAGCGGCGGACGGCCCUUUAAUGCCUAGGAAUCUGCCUGGUAGUGGGGGACAACGACUCGAAAGGGUCGCUAAUACCGCAUACGUCCUACGGGAGAAAGUGGGGGAUCUUCGGUCCUCACGCUAUCAGAUGAGCCUAGGUCGGAUUAGCUAGUAGGUGAGGUAAUGGCUCACCUAGGCAACGAUCCGUAACUGGUCUGAGAGGAUGAUCAGUCACACUGGAACUGAGACACGGUCCAGACUCCUACGGGAGGCAGCAGUGGGGAAUAUUGGACAAUGGGCGAAAGCCUGAUCCAGCCAUGCCGCGUGUGUGAAGAAGGUCUUCGGAUUGUAAAGCACUCUAAGUUGGGAGGAAGGGUUGUAGUUUAAUACGCUGCAAUCUUGACGUUACCAACAGAAUAAGCACCGGCUAACUCUGUGCCAGCAGCCGCGGUAAUACAGAGGGUGCAAGCGUUAAUCGGAAUUACUGGGCGUAAAGCGCGCGUAGGCGGCUUGAUAAGAUGGGUGUGAAAUCCCCGGGCUUAACCUGGGAACUGCAUCCAUAACUGUCUGGCUAGAGUACAGUAGAGGGUGGUGGAAUUUCCUGUGUAGCGGUGAAAUGCGUAGAUAUAGGAAGGAACACCAGUGGCGAAGGCGACCACCUGGACUGAUACUGACGCUGAGGUGCGAAAGCGUGGGGAGCAAACGGGAUUAGAUACCCUGGUAGUCCACCCCGUAAACGAUGGUCUACUAGCCGUUGGAAUCCUUGAAAUUUUAGUGGCGCAGCUAACCCACUAAGUAGA
RNAcentral lists this ribosomal RNA (814 nucleotides) under uncultured Gammaproteobacteria bacterium. Its description in RNAcentral is "bacterial SSU rRNA". It matches the Rfam family "Bacterial small subunit ribosomal RNA", at positions 60 to 868 of the family's 1533-position model. Lineage: Bacteria; Pseudomonadati; Pseudomonadota; Gammaproteobacteria. The record is from RNAcentral.